UAGCCGUAAACGAUACUCGCUAGGUGUCGGCCACGGUGCGACCGUUGUCGGUGCCGUAGGGAAGCCGUGAAGCGAGCCACCUGGGAAGUACGGCCGCAAGGCUGAAACUUAAAGGAAUUGGCGGGGGAGCACCACAACGGGUGGAGCUUGCGGGUUUAAUUGGAUUCAACGCCGGAAAUCUUACCGGGACCGACAGCAACAUGAAGGCCAGGCUGAAGUCUUUGCCGGAUUAGCUGAGAGGAGGUGCAUGGCGUAGUCGUGU
RNAcentral lists this ribosomal RNA (262 nucleotides) under uncultured archaeon. RNAcentral describes it as "partial 16S ribosomal RNA". It matches the Rfam family "Archaeal small subunit ribosomal RNA", at positions 748 to 1009 of the family's 1478-position model. The record is from RNAcentral.